GAUGAACGCUGGCGGCGUGCCUAAUACAUGCAAGUCGAGCGAACGGACGAGAAGCUUGCUUCUCUGAUGUUAGCGGCGGACGGGUGAGUAACACGUGGAUAACCUACCUAUAAGACUGGGAUAACUUCGGGAAACCGGAGCUAAUACCGGAUAAUAUUUUGAACCGCAUGGUUCAAAAGUGAAAGACGGUCUUGCUGUCACUUAUAGAUGGAUCCGCGCUGCAUUAGCUAGUUGGUAAGGUAACGGCUUACCAAGGCAACGAUGCAUAGCCGACCUGAGAGGGUGAUCGGCCACACUGGAACUGAGACACGGUCCAGACUCCUACGGGAGGCAGCAGUAGGGAAUCUUCCGCAAUGGGCGAAAGCCUGACGGAGCAACGCCGCGUGAGUGAUGAAGGUCUUCGGAUCGUAAAACUCUGUUAUUAGGGAAGAACAUAUGUGUAAGUAACUGUGCACAUCUUGACGGUACCUAAUCAGAAAGCCACGGCUAACUACGUGCCAGCAGCCGCGGUAAUAUGUAGGUGGCAAGCGUUAUCCGGAAUUAUUGGGCGUAAAGCGCGCGUAGGCGGUUUUUUAAGUCUGAUGUGAAAGCCCACGGCUCAACCGUGGAGGGUCAUUGGAAACUGGAAAACUUGAGUGCAGAAGAGGAAAGUGGAAUUCCAUGUGUAGCGGUGAAAUGCGCAGAGAUAUGGAGGAACACCAGUGGCGAAGGCGACUUUCUGGUCUGUAACUGACGCUGAUGUGCGAAAGCGUGGGGAUCAAACAGGAUUAGAUACCCUGGUAGUCCACGCCGUAGACGAUGAGUGCUAAGUGUUAGGGGGUUUCCGCCCCUUAGUGCUGCAGCUAACGCAUUAAGCACUCCGCCUGGGGAGUACGACCGCAAGGUUGAAACUCAAAGGAAUUGACGGGGACCCGCACAAGCGGUGGAGCAUGUGGUUUAAUUCGAAGCAACGCGAAGAACCUUACCAAAUCUUGACAUCCUUUGACAACUCUAGAGAUAGAGCCUUCCCCUUCGGGGGACAAAGUGACAGGUGGUGCAUGGUUGUCGUCAGCUCGUGUCGUGAGAUGUUGGGUUAAGUCCCGCAACGAGCGCAACCCUUAAGCUUAGUUGCCAUCAUUAAGUUGGGCACUCUAAGUUGACUGCCGGUGACAAACCGGAGGAAGGUGGGGAUGACGUCAAAUCAUCAUGCCCCUUAUGAUUUGGGCUACACACGUGCUACAAUGGACAAUACAAAGGGCAGCGAAACCGCGAGGUCAAGCAAAUCCCAUAAAGUUGUUCUCAGUUCGGAUUGUAGUCUGCAGCUCGACUACAUGAAGCUGGAAUCGCUAGUAAUCGUAGAUCAGCAUGCUACGGUGAAUACGUUCCCGGGUCU
RNAcentral lists this ribosomal RNA (1372 nucleotides) under uncultured bacterium. RNAcentral's name for it is "bacterial SSU rRNA". It matches the Rfam family "Bacterial small subunit ribosomal RNA", at positions 28 to 1381 of the family's 1533-position model. The record is from RNAcentral.